AGAGUUUGAUCCUGGCUCAGGAUGAACGCUAGCGGGAGGCUUAACACAUGCAAGUCGAGGGGCACCCCGAGCAAUCGGGGGAGACCGGCAGACGGGURCGUAACGCGUAUGCAACCUGCCUUGUGCAGGGGGAUAGCCCAUGGAAACGUGGAUUAAUACCCCAUAUACUAUAUGGUGCCGCAUGGCAUUAAUAGGAAAGCUACGGCGGCACAAGAUGGGCAUGCGUCUGAUUAGCUAGAUGGCGGGGCAACGGCCCACCAUGGCGACGAUCAGUAGGGGUCCUGAGAGGGUUACCCCCCACACUGGCACUGAGACACGGGCCAGACYCCUACGGGAGGCAGCAGUGAGGAAUAUUGGGCAAUGGGCGGAAGCCUGACCCAGCCAUCCCGCGUGCAGGACGAAGGCCCUAUGGGUCGUAAACUGCUUUUCCUGGGGGAGAAACACCCCGAUGUAUCGGGGCUUGACGGUACCCAGGGAAUAAGCAUCGGCUAACUCCGUGCCAGCAGCCGCGGUAAUACGGAGGAUGCAAGCGUUAUCCGGAUUUAUUGGGUUUAAAGGGUGCGCAGGCGGGCCAAUAAGUCAGUGGUGAAAUCCUGCCGCUUARCGGUAGGACUGCCAUUGAUACUGUUGGCCUUGAGUAUGGUUGAGGUAGGCGGAAUGUGCGGUGUAGCGGUGAAAUGCAUAGAUAUCGCACAGAACGCCGRUUGCGGAGGCAGCUUACUAAGCCAUUACUGACGCUGAGGCACGAAAGCGUGGGUAGCGAACAGGAUUAGAUACCCUGGUAGUCC
This 788-nucleotide ribosomal RNA is filed under the name uncultured bacterium. RNAcentral's name for it is "bacterial SSU rRNA". It matches the Rfam family "Bacterial small subunit ribosomal RNA", at positions 8 to 796 of the family's 1533-position model. The record is from RNAcentral.